AUUCCGCGUGAGUGAAGAAGCCUUGGGGUAGUAAAGCUCUUUCGCAAGGGAAGAAACGAUACAGUCUAAUAAACUGUGUUAAUGACGGUACCUUGAUAAGAAGCACCGGCUAACUACGUGCCAGCAGCCGCGGUAAUACGUAGGGUGCGAGCGUUAAUCGGAAUUACUGGGCGUAAAGCGUGCGCAGGCGGUUUUGAAAGUCAGAUGUGAAAUCCCCGGGCUCAACCUGGGAACUGCGUUUGAAACUCCAAAGCUAGAGUAUGGGAGAGGGGGGUAGAAUUCCACGUGUAGCAGUGAAAUGCGUAGAGAUGUGGAGGAAUACCAAUGGCGAAGGCAGCCCCCUGGCUUAAUACUGACGCUCAUGCACGAAAGCGUGGGGAGCAAACAGGAUUAGAUACCCUGGUAGUCCACGCCCUAAACGAUGUCUACCAGUUGUUGGGAGAGUAAAAUCUCUUAGUAACGCAGCUAACGCGUGAAGUAGACCGCCUGGGGAGUACGGUCGCAAGAUUAAAACUCACAGGAAUUGACGGGGGCCCGCACAAGCGGUGGAUUAUGUGGAUUAAUUCGAUGCCACGCGAAAGACCUUACCUGGCCUUGACAUGUAGCGAACUUAGCAGAGAUGCUUUGGU
Molecule: ribosomal RNA, 629 nt
Filed under: uncultured archaeon
Lineage: Archaea
Description: bacterial SSU rRNA
Rfam family: Bacterial small subunit ribosomal RNA
Source: RNAcentral